CGGAAGGGGAUGGGAAGACUAGGCAAGACUAGGGUACGCAAGGAACUCUGACUGAGAACGGCGGUGGAUUCCCGCUGGGCCUUACAUUGUCAACGAAAUUCCAACCGCCAUUCAUCCGAUGUUUCGUUAGCCUUCCUCCUGAAUGGACACGAUUCGUCAACCCGCCAGUACAACAUCACCACCAUCACCAUCCCCCCUUCAGCAUUGCGGUCGAUACGCGACCCAACAUGUACGGUGCAGUCCGCAGGUUGCACACCAUCCACGUGUUUGCACGAACGUGUACGACACUUAAUCACAUAGAUUCAUGCACAUGCAAGGCGGUUGCCACGCAUGCACCAUCGUCCACACACAGAGACACACACACAGUAAUCAUUAGAGGACUAGGGGGGGAGGUCCUAUAUGCCGCAAAAAGGGCGGGGAGGAGGGCCUUAUGCAAGAUCUAAGUAACUGUAUGCCCUCCUCCUCUUUACCCUCACGUCACCACCUCCCUCCGAUGCGGAACCUCCCCUACCUCCCCCACCUACCUCUGUCGCCCCUAUCUCCCCUCUCCCACCCACAUACCUCCUCCCCCCCGGGCAUAGUCAGCGUCACCCGUCCAAACCCGCCGUACGGAAGACCUGCCCGGCUGCCUCCUUGCGACUGAUCCACCCGCCCAAGCGGCGCACCAGCGCCUCCACAUCCGCAUCCACAUCCGCAUCUACAUGAGGCGGCGGUGGCUGCAAGCCCCUGUGGUCCUCCCGCCCGUCAGCUGCUGGCGGGCCCCCCCCACCCGGCCCCG
This 778-nucleotide long non-coding RNA is filed under the name Volvox carteri. RNAcentral's name for it is "long non-coding RNA (VCAR_LNC003131)". The record is from RNAcentral. Lineage: Eukaryota; Viridiplantae; Chlorophyta; Chlorophyceae; Chlamydomonadales; Volvocaceae.